AAACUUUUAACAACGGAUCUCUUGGUUCUGGCAUCGAUGAAGAACGCAGCGAAAUGCGAUAAGUAAUGUGAAUUGCAGAAUUCAGUGAAUCAUCGAAUCUUUGAACGCACAUUGCGCCCGCUAGUAUUCUGGCGGGCAUGCCUGUUCGAGCGUCAUU
RNAcentral lists this ribosomal RNA (157 nucleotides) under fungal sp. agrD401. Its description in RNAcentral is "5.8S ribosomal RNA". It matches the Rfam family "5.8S ribosomal RNA". From Rfam's summary of the family: 5.8S ribosomal RNA (5.8S rRNA) is a component of the large subunit of the eukaryotic ribosome. It is transcribed by RNA polymerase I as part of the 45S precursor that also contains 18S and 28S rRNA. Lineage: Eukaryota; Fungi. The record is from RNAcentral.